AUGGAGAUCGGCACCGAGAUCAGCCGCAAGAUCCGGAGUGCUAUUAAGGGGAAAUUGCAAGAAUUAGGAGCUUAUGUUGGCUUCAUGGUGUAUUAGAUAAACUUCGCUCUUUUACAGCUGAACCUUCUAGUCUAAAGUCUUGUGAUACCAACAUCUUUGAUAGUAACGUGUCUUCGAACAAGAGCAGUUUCAGUCGGGGAGAUGAGAGGAGGCAUGAAGCUGCAGCGCCACCACUUGCCAUUCCUAGCACUAGACCUGAAAAAAGAGAUUCCAGAGUCUACAAGUUCACAGGAGUCAAAAACCACUAAUAUCAGGCAGACUUAUGAUGAUGGAGCUGCAACCCGACUAAUGUCAACAGUGAAACCUUUGAGGGAGCCAGCACCCUCUGAAGAUGUGAUUGAUAUUAAGCCAGAACCAGAUGAUCUCAUUGACGAAGACCUGAACUUUGUGCAGGAGAACCCUUUAUCUCGGAAAAAACCUACAGUGACACUUACAUAAGGUUCUUCUCGCCCUUCUAUUGAAAUUUAUCGACCACCUGCAAGUAGAAAUGCAGAUAGUGGUGUUCAUUUAAACAGGUUGCAAUUUCAACAGCAGCAAAAUAGUAUGCAUGCUGCCAAGCAGCUUGAUAUACAGAAUAGUUGGGUAUAUGAAACAGGACGUUUGUGUGAACCAGAAGUGCGUAACAGCUUAGAAGAAACGUAUAGUCUGUUCUUUAGAAACAACUCGGAGAAAAUGAGUAUGGAGGAUGAAAACUUUCGGAAGAGAAAGUUGCCUGUGGUAAGUUCAGUUGUUAAAGUAAAAAAAAAAAUCAAUCAUGAUGGAGAAGAGGAGGAAGAAGAUGAUGAUUAUGGGUCUCGAACAGGGAGCAUCUCCAGCAGUGUGUCUGUGCCAGCAAAGCCUGAAAGGAGACCUUCUCUUCCGCCUUCUAAACAAGCUAACAAGAAUCUCAUUUUGAAGGCUAUAUCUGAAGCUCAAGAAUCUGUAACAAAAACAACUAACUAUUCCACAGUCCCACAGAAACAGACACUUCCAGUUGCUCCUAGAACUCGAACUUCUCAAGAAGAAUUGCUAGCAGAAGUGGUCCAGGGACAAAGUAGGACCCCAAGAAUAAGUCCUCCCAUUAAAGAAGAGGAAACAAAAGGAGAUUCCAUAGAAAAAAAUCAAGCUGAGAUGAGUGAACUGAGUGUGGCACAGAAACCAGAAAAACUUUUGGAGCGCUGCAAGUACUGGCCUGCUUGUAAAAAUGGGGAUGAGUGUGCCUACCAUCACCCCAUCUCACUCUGCAAAGCCUUCCCCAAUUGUAAAUUUGCUGAAAAAUGUUUGUUUGUUCACCCAAAUUGUAAAUAUGAUGCAAAGUGUACAAAAACCACAUUGUCCUUUCACUCAUGUGAGUAGAAGAAUUCCAGUACUGUCUCCAAAACCAGCAGUUGCACCGCCAGCACCACCUUCCAAUAGUCAGCUCUGCCACUACUUCCCAGCUUGUAAGAAGAUGGAAUGUCCCUUCUAUCAUCCAAAACACUGUAGGUUUAAUACUCAGUGUACGAGACCGGACUGUACAUUCUACCAUCCCACCAUUAAUGUACCACCACGACAUGCCUUGAAAUGCAUUCGACCUAAAACCAGCGAAUAACACUCAAUCCUACCUGGCAGAAGAUCAUGCAGUUUGGAAGUUUCCAUCUACUGAUGAAUACUCUACAGAACUUGUCAAAUGUUUGAAACUUGGAAUAUAUUGCUUUCAUAAUAUGAAGUUUAUUGCCUA
Saimiri boliviensis boliviensis (Bolivian squirrel monkey) is the source of this 1759-nucleotide non-coding RNA. NCBI's taxonomy places the organism in Eukaryota, Metazoa, Chordata, Mammalia, Primates, Cebidae. The record is from RefSeq and is a predicted model, not a curated record.